AAACCAACAGGGAUUGCCUUAGUAACGGCGAGUGAAGCGGCAAAAGCUCAAAUUUGAAAUCUGGCACCUUCGGUGUCCGAGUUGUAAUUUGAAGAAGGUAACUUUGGAGUUGGCUCUUGUCUAUGUUCCUUGGAACAGGACGUCACAGAGGGUGAGAAUCCCGU
This 164-nucleotide ribosomal RNA is filed under the name uncultured Debaryomyces. RNAcentral describes it as "partial 26S ribosomal RNA". It matches the Rfam family "Eukaryotic large subunit ribosomal RNA", at positions 62 to 224 of the family's 3401-position model. The record is from RNAcentral. Lineage: Eukaryota; Fungi; Ascomycota; Saccharomycetes; Saccharomycetales; Saccharomycetaceae.